RNAcentral lists this ribosomal RNA (429 nucleotides) under Gemmatimonadota bacterium. RNAcentral's name for it is "Gemmatimonadetes bacterium partial 16S ribosomal RNA". It matches the Rfam family "Bacterial small subunit ribosomal RNA", at positions 355 to 776 of the family's 1533-position model. The record is from RNAcentral. Lineage: Bacteria; Pseudomonadati; Gemmatimonadota.
UAGGGAAUCUUCGGCAAUGGACGAAAGUCUGACCGAGCAACGCCGCGUGAGUGAAGAAGGUUUUCGGAUCGUAAAACUCUGUUGUUAGAGAAGAACAAGGACGUUAGUAACUGAACGUCCCCUGACGGUAUCUAACCAGAAAGCCACGGCUAACUACGUGCCAGCAGCCGCGGUAAUACGUAGGUGGCAAGCGUUGUCCGGAUUUAUUGGGCGUAAAGCGAGCGCAGGCGGUUUCUUAAGUCUGAUGUGAAAGCCCCCGGCUCAACCGGGGAGGGGCAUUGGAAAAUGGGAGACUUGAGUGCAGAAGAGGAGAGUGGAAUUCCAUGUGUAGCGGUGAAAUGCGUAGAUAUAGGGAGGAACACCAGUGGCGAAGGCGGCUCUCUGGUCUGUAACUGACGCUGAGGCUCGAAAGCGUGGGGAGCAAACAGG